GAUGAACGCUGGCGGCGUGCCUAAUACAUGCCAGUCGAGCGAACGGACGAGAAGCUUGCUUCUCUGAUGUUAGCGGCGGACGGGUGAGUAACACGUGGAUAACCUACCUAUAAGACUGGGAUAACUUCGGGAAACCGGGGCUAAUACCGGAUGAUAUUUUGAACCGCAUGGUUCAAAAGUGAAAGACGGUCUUGCUGUCACUUAUAGAUGGAUCCGCGCUGCAUUAGCUAGUUGGUAAGGUAACGGCUUACCAAGGCAACGAUGCAUAGCCGACCUGAGAGGGUGAUCGGCAACACUGGAACUGAGACACGGUCCAGACUCCUACGGGAGGCAGCAGUAGGGAAUCUUCCGCAAUGGGCGAAAGCCUGACGGAGCAACGCCGCGUGAGUGAUGAAGGUCUUCGGAUCGUAAAACUCUGUUAUUAGGGAAGAACAUAUGUGUAAGUAACUGUGCACAUCUUGACGGUACCUAAUCAGAAAGCCACGGCUAACUACGUG
This 497-nucleotide ribosomal RNA is filed under the name uncultured bacterium. RNAcentral's name for it is "partial 16S ribosomal RNA". It matches the Rfam family "Bacterial small subunit ribosomal RNA", at positions 28 to 507 of the family's 1533-position model. The record is from RNAcentral.